CCACGUCGAACAGCGGGUACAAUCAGUCGAUCCCAGCCAUCUAUCUCACCAUUUCCACUUCCGGAAUGGGUUGAAUCUGCAGGGAAAAGGUGUCUCACCUAAAUGGUGAAAGUUUUUGAGAGUUUUGAAUUUCGAAUAGGUCCCCUCUUACCCAAAAAUUUCCCCCCGAAUCAGCCCUAAAAAUCCCUAUAUGUAUUCCCUUUUAUUCACUGAUC
RNAcentral lists this long non-coding RNA (215 nucleotides) under Solanum tuberosum (potato). Its description in RNAcentral is "long non-coding RNA (STUB_LNC001323)". The record is from RNAcentral. Lineage: Eukaryota; Viridiplantae; Streptophyta; Magnoliopsida; Solanales; Solanaceae.